CUGCUGCCUCCCGUAGGAGUUUGGACCGUGUCUCAGUUCCAAUGUGGGGGACCUUCCUCUCAGAACCCCUACGCAUCGUCGGCUUGGUGGGCCGUUGCCCCACCAACUACCUAAUGCGCCGCAUGCCCAUCCGUGACCGGAGUCGCCCCCUUUGGCCGGAAAGGGAUGUCCCUUCCCGGCGUCAUGCUGUAUUAGGCGGGAUUUCUCCCGGUUAUCCAUCUGUCACGGCCAGGUUGCAUACGUGUUACUCACCCGUGCGCCGGUCGCCCGG
Molecule: ribosomal RNA, 271 nt
Filed under: uncultured bacterium
Lineage: Bacteria
Description: partial 16S ribosomal RNA
Source: RNAcentral